RNAcentral lists this ribosomal RNA (793 nucleotides) under uncultured archaeon. RNAcentral's name for it is "bacterial SSU rRNA". It matches the Rfam family "Archaeal small subunit ribosomal RNA", at positions 85 to 879 of the family's 1478-position model. The record is from RNAcentral.
ACUGCUCAGUAACACGUGGACAACCUGCCCUUAGGUUGGGUAUAAACCCGGGAAACUGGGUAUAAUACCCGAUAGGUCUCGAUUGCUGGAAUGCAUCGAGAUUUAAAGCUCCGGCGCCUAAGGAUGGGUCUGCGGCCUAUCAGGUAGUAGUGGAUGUAGCGUACCUACUAGCCUACGACGGGUACGGGUUGUGAGAGCAAGAGCCCGGAGAUGGAUUCUGAGACACGAAUCCAGGCCCUACGGGGUGCAGCAGGCGCGAAAACUUUACAAUGCUGGCAACAGCGAUAAGGGAACCUCGAGUGCCAGGUUACAAAUCUGGCUGUCGAGAUGCCUAAAAAGCAUUUCAUAGCAAGGGCCGGGCAAGACCGGUGCCAGCCGCCGCGGUAACACCGGCGGCUCGAGUGGUAACCGUUAUUAUUGGGUCUAAAGGGUCUGUAGCCGGCCGGAUAAGUCUCUUGAGAAAUCUGGCAGCUUAACUGUCAGGCUUUCAGGAGAUACUGUCUGGCUCGAGGCCGGGAGAGGUGAGAGGUACUUCAGGGGUAGGGGUGAAAUCUUGUAAUCCUUGAAGGACCACCAGUGGCGAAGGCGUCUCACCAGAACGGACCUGACGGCAAGGGACGAAAGCUAGGGGCACGAACCGGAUUAGAUACCCGGGUAGUCCUAGCCGUAAACGAUACUCGCUAGGUGUCGGCCACGGUGCGACCGUUGUCGGUGCCGUAGGGAAGCCGUGAAGCGAGCCACCUGGGAAGUACGGCCGCAAGGCUGAAACUUAAAGGAAUUGGCGGGGGAGCAC